Molecule: ribosomal RNA, 250 nt
Filed under: uncultured Eubacteriales bacterium
Lineage: Bacteria; Bacillati; Bacillota; Clostridia; Eubacteriales
Description: uncultured Clostridiales bacterium partial 16S ribosomal RNA
Rfam family: Bacterial small subunit ribosomal RNA
Source: RNAcentral
GUUUUAGCGGCGGACGGGUGAGUAACGCGUGAGCAACCUUUCCCAGACAGGGGAAUAACACACCGAAAGGUGUACUAAUACCGCAUAAGACCACGGGAUCACAUGGUUCUGAGGUAAAAGAUUUAUCGGUUUGGGGUGGGCUCGCGUCCGAUUAGGUAGUUGGUGAGGUAACGGCCCACCAAGCCGACGAUCGGUAGCCGACCUGAGAGGGUGAUCGGCCACAUUGGGACUGAGACACGGCCCAAACUCC